CCCACUCGCAAGGAUAGUAUUCUUUGAACAACACGACACACGGAUACAAUAUAGCUUUAAAAGCAACAUCAGCGGGAACCAGCAACUGCAACG
Molecule: long non-coding RNA, 93 nt
Organism: Zophobas morio
Lineage: Eukaryota; Metazoa; Arthropoda; Insecta; Coleoptera; Tenebrionidae
Exons: 3
Source: RefSeq, a predicted model, not a curated record